UGCCAGCCGCCGCGGUAAUACGGAGGGUGCAAGCAUUAAUCGGAUUCAUUGGGCGUAAAGGGCGCGUAGGUGGGAAAGUCAGUCAGACGUGAAAGCCCGGAGCUUAACUCCGGAAUAGCAUCUGAAACUACUUUUCUUGAGGAUAGGCGGAGAAAACGGAAUUCCACGUGUAGCGGUGAAAUGCGUAGAUAUGUGGAAGAACACCCGUGGCGAAAGCGGUUUUCUAGCUUACUCCUGACACUGAGGCGCGAAAGCUGGGGGAGCGAACAGGAUUAGAUA
This 279-nucleotide ribosomal RNA is filed under the name uncultured bacterium. RNAcentral's name for it is "partial 16S ribosomal RNA". It matches the Rfam family "Bacterial small subunit ribosomal RNA", at positions 506 to 784 of the family's 1533-position model. The record is from RNAcentral.